CGCGCGGCGGGUGAAAAGGGAACGGGGUGUGAUUCCCCGACAGGACCGCUGCUGUGAUGCGGAGCGACGGAGGAAAGGUCAUUGGCGCGAGCCGAGAAGACGCUUCGCCGCGAUGAGGCUGAGUCAGAAGACCUGCCUGUGAAGAU
RNAcentral lists this non-coding RNA (146 nucleotides) under bovine gut metagenome. The record is from RNAcentral.